This 648-nucleotide ribosomal RNA is filed under the name Klebsiella pneumoniae. Its description in RNAcentral is "bacterial SSU rRNA". It matches the Rfam family "Bacterial small subunit ribosomal RNA", at positions 29 to 669 of the family's 1533-position model. The record is from RNAcentral. Lineage: Bacteria; Pseudomonadati; Pseudomonadota; Gammaproteobacteria; Enterobacterales; Enterobacteriaceae.
AUGAACGCCGGCGGCAGGCCUAACACAUGCAAGUCGAGCGGUAGCACAGAGAGCUUGCUCUCGGGUGACGAGCGGCGGACGGGUGAGUAAUGUCUGGGAAACUGCCUGAUGGAGGGGGAUAACUACUGGAAACGGUAGCUAAUACCGCAUAACGUCGCAAGACCAAAGUGGGGGACCUUCGGGCCUCAUGCCAUCAGAUGUGCCCAGAUGGGAUUAGCUAGUAGGUGGGGUAACGGCUCACCUAGGCGACGAUCCCUAGCUGGUCUGAGAGGAUGACCAGCCACACUGGAACUGAGACACGGUCCAGACUCCUACGGGAGGCAGCAGUGGGGAAUAUUGCACAAUGGGCGCAAGCCUGAUGCAGCCAUGCCGCGUGUGUGAAGAAGGCCUUCGGGUUGUAAAGCACUUUCAGCGGGGAGGAAGGCGGUGAGGUUAAUAACCUCACCGAUUGACGUUACCCGCAGAAGAAGCACCGGCUAACUCCGUGCCAGCAGCCGCGGUAAUACGGAGGGUGCAAGCGUUAAUCGGAAUUACUGGGCGUAAAGCGCACGCAGGCGGUCUGUCAAGUCGGAUGUGAAAUCCCCGGGCUCAACCUGGGAACUGCAUUCGAAACUGGCAGGCUUAGAGUCUUGUAGAGGGGUAGAAUUC